This 253-nucleotide ribosomal RNA is filed under the name uncultured bacterium. RNAcentral describes it as "partial 16S ribosomal RNA". It matches the Rfam family "Bacterial small subunit ribosomal RNA", at positions 524 to 776 of the family's 1533-position model. The record is from RNAcentral.
UACGUAGGGUGCGAGCGUUGUCCGGAAUUAUUGGGCGUAAAGGGCUCGUAGGCGGUUUGUCGCGUCGGGAGUGAAAACCUUGGGCUUAACUCAGGGCUUGCUUUCGAUACGGGCAGACUAGAGGUAUGCAGGGGAGAACGGAAUUCCUGGUGUAGCGGUGAAAUGCGCAGAUAUCAGGAGGAACAUCGGUGGCGAAGGCGGUUCUCUGGGCAUGAUCUGGCGCUGAGGAGCGAAAGUGUGGGGAGCGAACAGG